UACGUAGGGUGCAAGCGUUAUCCGGAAUUAUUGGGCGUAAAGAGCUCGUAGGCGGUUUGUCGCGUCUGCUGUGAAAACUGGAGGCUCAACCUCCAGCCUGCAGUGGGUACGGGCAGACUAGAGUGCGGUAGGGGAGAUUGGAAUUCCUGGUGUAGCGGUGGAAUGCGCAGAUAUCAGGAGGAACACCGGUGGCGAAGGCGGGUCUCUGGGCCGAUACUGACGCUGAGGAGCGAAAGCGUGGGGAGCGAACAGG
Molecule: ribosomal RNA, 253 nt
Filed under: uncultured bacterium
Lineage: Bacteria
Description: partial 16S ribosomal RNA
Rfam family: Bacterial small subunit ribosomal RNA
Source: RNAcentral